RNAcentral lists this ribosomal RNA (261 nucleotides) under uncultured prokaryote. Its description in RNAcentral is "partial 16S ribosomal RNA". It matches the Rfam family "Bacterial small subunit ribosomal RNA", at positions 524 to 784 of the family's 1533-position model. The record is from RNAcentral.
UACGUAGGUGGCGAGCGUUGUCCGGAUUUACUGGGCGUAAAGGGAGCGUAGGCGGACUUUUAAGUGAGAUGUGAAAUACCCGGGCUCAGCUUGGGUGCUGCAUUUCAAACUGGAAGUCUAGAGUGCAGGAGAGGAGAAUGGAAUUCCUAGUGUAGCGGUGAAAUGCGUAGAGAUUAGGAAGAACACCAGUGGCGAAGGCGAUUCUCUGGACUGUAACUGACGCUGAGGCUCGAAAGCGUGGGGAGCAAACAGGAUUAGAUA